This 269-nucleotide non-coding RNA is filed under the name Chthonomonas calidirosea. RNAcentral's name for it is "T-box sequence". It matches the Rfam family "T-box leader". From Rfam's summary of the family: Uncharged tRNA acts as the effector for transcription antitermination of genes in the T-box leader family. T-boxes are found upstream of many aminoacyl-tRNA synthetase genes and some amino acid biosynthetic genes usually in Gram-positive bacteria. Lineage: Bacteria; Bacillati; Armatimonadota; Chthonomonadia; Chthonomonadales; Chthonomonadaceae. The record is from RNAcentral.
GGCAAUGCGAUGACGAGGCCAGUAGGCACGACGCUCUCGCUUCAGAGAGUCGCCGGUUGGUGCAAGGCGAUGCAGAGGCGUGCUGAAACUCCCCUCCGAGCAGAAAUGCUGAACCGUGCCCCUGAGGCACGCAGUAGGCUUUCCGGUUAGCGCCCGAUAGAGCGCCUUGAGUGAUCGGCAGAAUGCCUAGGGCAUUCAACGUGCGCAUUGCGUUAAUGCGUGCCGAUAUCAAGGGUGGUACCGCGUGAGCAGAGCCUCUCGUCCCUUGG